Molecule: ribosomal RNA, 492 nt
Filed under: uncultured bacterium
Lineage: Bacteria
Description: partial 16S ribosomal RNA
Rfam family: Bacterial small subunit ribosomal RNA
Source: RNAcentral
AGUGAACGCUGGCGGUAGGCCUAACACAUGCAAGUCGAACGGCAGCACAGUAAGAGCUUGCUCUUACGGGUGGCGAGUGGCGGACGGGUGAGGAAUACAUCGGAAUCUACUUUUUCGUGGGGGAUAACGUAGGGAAACUUACGCUAAUACCGCAUACGACCUACGGGUGAAAGCAGGGGAUCUUCGGACCUUGCGCGAUUGAAUGAGCCGAUGUCGGAUUAGCUAGUUGGCGGGGUAAAGGCCCACCAAGGCGACGAUCCGUAGCUGGUCUGAGAGGAUGAUGAGCCACACUGGAACUGAGACACGGUCCAGACUCCUACGGGAGGCAGCAGUGGGGAAUAUUGGACAAUGGGGGCAAGCCUGAUCCAGCGAUACCGCGUGGGUGAAGAAGGCCUUCGGGUUGGAAAGCCCUUUUGUUGGGAAAGAAAAGCAGCAGGUUAAUACCACGCUGUUCUGACGGUACCCAAAGAAUAAGCACCGGCUAACUUCGUG